Molecule: long non-coding RNA, 495 nt
Organism: Drosophila virilis
Lineage: Eukaryota; Metazoa; Arthropoda; Insecta; Diptera; Drosophilidae
Source: RefSeq, a predicted model, not a curated record
CAUUUUAUGUAUGUAAGUCAAUAAUAUAAUAUAUAAUAAUAAUAAUCGUAUAAAAACCCUAUUAGAAAUAUCAAGUGUUCCUUCAGAGCCGGGAGUAAUUUUUUCCAUUAUGACCAACAACAAAUCAGUAGCUGCCAAAUCGAGCUGACCUACCAGAGUUGCCAUAUCAUCUGCUGCCGAAUUGGAGAUCACAAAGAAAGCACCUCAUAUAACUAAUCGGUAAAGCCGGUGGAGUAAUAGCAGAGCUGACGAAUAGAUCAUCAAACAAAGAUGAUAGCAACGGACCAUUUAAAGGGCUCCUUGGAUUUUCUCUGGAUAUGUGAGCUAGCCAAAAAGAAAUAGAUUGCUUAAGGCACUUGGAGCUGCAUCAAAGCACAACGCCUCGCCAAAAAAGGACGAGGGAUUGCAGCCGUUGGUUUCGGAUUUGACGCUUUUAAAUGUAAUCUAACUAAACCUUACUACAAUAAUAUUUACCAUGUGCUCAAUUAUCAUCAA